AGAUGGUGAACUAUGCCUGAAUAGGGCGAAGCCAGGGGAAACCCUGGUGGAAGCCCGCAGCGAUUCUGACGUGCAAAUCGAUCGUCAAAUUUGGGUAUAGGGGCGAAAGACUAAUCGAACCGUCUAGUAGCUGGUUCCCUCCGAAGUUUCCCUCAGGAUAGCUGGAGCCCGGUGCAGUUUUAUCAGGUAAAGCGAAUGAUUAGAGGUCUUGGGGUCGAAACGUCCUCAACCUAUUCUCAAACUUUAAAUGGGUAAGAAGUCUGGCUUGCUCGAUUGAAGUCGGACGUGGAAUGCCGGGGCUCCUAGUGGGCCAUUUUUGGUAAGCAGAACUGGCGAUGUGGGAUGAACCGAAAGCCGGGUUAAGGUGCCCGAAUCGACGCUCAGCA
This 386-nucleotide ribosomal RNA is filed under the name Mycale microsigmatosa. Its description in RNAcentral is "eukaryotic LSU rRNA". It matches the Rfam family "Eukaryotic large subunit ribosomal RNA", at positions 821 to 1207 of the family's 3401-position model. Lineage: Eukaryota; Metazoa; Porifera; Demospongiae; Poecilosclerida; Mycalidae. The record is from RNAcentral. RNAcentral also lists the same sequence under 2 other names.